This 429-nucleotide ribosomal RNA is filed under the name Bacteroidota bacterium. Its description in RNAcentral is "Bacteroidetes bacterium partial 16S ribosomal RNA". It matches the Rfam family "Bacterial small subunit ribosomal RNA", at positions 355 to 776 of the family's 1533-position model. The record is from RNAcentral. Lineage: Bacteria; Pseudomonadati; Bacteroidota.
UAGGGAAUCUUCCGCAAUGGACGCAAGUCUGACGGAGCAACGCCGCGUGAGUGAAGAAGGAUUUCGGUUCGUAAAACUCUGUUGUUAGAGAAGAACAGCGCAUAGAGUAACUGUUAUGCGUGUGACGGUAUCUAACCAGAAAGCCACAGCUAACUACGUGCCAGCAGCCGCGGUAAUACGUAGGUGGCAAGCGUUGUCCGGAUUUAUUGGGCGUAAAGCGAGCGCAGGCGGUCAAUUAAGUCUGAUGUGAAAGCCCCCGGCUCAACCGGGGAGGGUCAUUGGAAACUGGUUGACUUGAGUGCAGAAGAGGAGAGUGGAAUUCCAUGUGUAGCGGUGAAAUGCGUUGAUAUAUGGAGGAACACCAGUGGCGAAGGCGACUCUCUGGUCUGUAACUGACGCUGAGGCUCGAAAGCGUGGGUAGCAAACAGG